UACAGAGGGUGCAGGCGUUAAUCGGAAUUACUGGGCGUAAAGCGUGCGUAGACGGUUAUGUAAGUCGGGUGUGAAAGCCCCGGGCUCAACCUGGGAAUGCCAUUCGAGACUGCAUAGCUAGGGUGCGGUAGAGGGAAGCGGAAUUUCCGGUGUAGCGGUGAAAUGCGUAGAUAUCGGAAGGAACAUCAGUGGCGAAAGCGGCUUCCUGGACCAGCACCGACGUUCAGGCACGAAAGCGUGGGGAGCAAACAGG
RNAcentral lists this ribosomal RNA (253 nucleotides) under uncultured bacterium. RNAcentral's name for it is "partial 16S ribosomal RNA". It matches the Rfam family "Bacterial small subunit ribosomal RNA", at positions 524 to 776 of the family's 1533-position model. The record is from RNAcentral.